UGGGGAAUAUUGGACAAUGGGCGAAAGCCUGAUCCAGCCAUGCCGCGUGAGUGACGAAGGCCUUAGGGUUGUAAAACUCUUUCGUCGGGGACGAUAAUGACGGUACCCGAAGAAGAAGCUCCGGCUAACUUCGUGCCAGCAGCCGCGGUAAUACGAAGGGGACUAGCGUUGUUCGGAAUCACUGGGCGUAAAGCGCACGUAGGCGGAUUUGUAAGUCAGGGGUGAAAUCCUGGGGCUCAACCCCAGAACUGCCUUUGAUACUGGCUGUCUCGAGGUCGAGAGAGGUUGGUGGAAUUCCUAGUGUAGAGGUGAAAUUCGUAGAUAUUAGGAAGAACACCAGUGGCGAAGGCGGCCAACUGGCUCGAUACUGACGCUGAGGUGCGAAAGCGUGGGGAGCAAACAGGAUUAGAUACCCCCGUAUUCCCUGAGCGGGCUGGCAAGGCGCAU
This 447-nucleotide ribosomal RNA is filed under the name uncultured bacterium. Its description in RNAcentral is "bacterial SSU rRNA". It matches the Rfam family "Bacterial small subunit ribosomal RNA", at positions 355 to 825 of the family's 1533-position model. The record is from RNAcentral.